RNAcentral lists this ribosomal RNA (756 nucleotides) under uncultured bacterium. RNAcentral describes it as "bacterial SSU rRNA". It matches the Rfam family "Bacterial small subunit ribosomal RNA", at positions 8 to 796 of the family's 1533-position model. The record is from RNAcentral.
AGAGUUUGAUCAUGGCUCAGAAUCAACGCUGGCGGCGUGCCUAACACAUGCAAGUCGAACGAGAAAGUGGAGCAAUCCAUGAGUACAGUGGCGACCGGGUGAGUAACACGUGACCAACCUGCCCUCGAGUGGGGAAUAACCCCGGGAAACCGGGGCUAAUACCGCAUAACAUCGCAAGAUCAAAGCAGCAAUGCGCUUGAGGAGGGGGUCGCGGCUGAUUAGCUAGUUGGUAGGGUAACGGCCUACCAAGGCGAAGAUCGGUAUCCGGCCUGAGAGGGCGCACGGACACACUGGAACUGAAACACGGUCCAGACUCCUACGGGAGGCAGCAGUGGGGAAUUUUGCGCAAUGGGGGAAACCCUGACGCAGCAACGCCGCGUGGAGGAUGAAGUCCCUUGGGACGUAAACUCCUUUCGACCCGGACGAUACUGACGGUACGGGUGGAAGAAGCACCGGCUAACUCUGUGCCAGCAGCCGCGGUAAUACAGAGGGUGCGAGCGUUGUUCGGAAUUAUUGGGCGUAAAGGGCGCGUAGGCGGCGCGGUAAGUCACCUGUGAAAUCUCCUGGCUCAACUGGGAGCUUGCAGGCGAAACUGCCGUGCUGGAGUGUGGGAGAGGUGCGUGGAAUUCCUGGUGUAGCGGUGAAAUGCGUAGAUAUCAGGAGGAACACCUGUGGCGAAAGCGGCGCACUGGACCACAACUGACGCUGAGGCGCGAAAGCUAGGGGAGCAAACAGGAUUAGAUACCCCCGUAGUCC